AGAGUUUGAUCCUGGCUCAGAACGAACGUUGGCGGCGUGGAUUAGGCAUGCAAGUCGAACGAAUCCCUGGGGGCAACUCUGGGGGGAAGUGGCGAAAGGGGCAGUAAGGCAUGGGUAACCUACCCCGGGGACUGGGAUAGCCAUUCUAACGAGUGGGUAAUACCGGGCGAUGUAACGAGGGGGCAUCUUCUUGUUACGAGAUGAAUUUCGCCUCGGGAGGGGCUCAUGUAGUAUUAGCUAGUUGGUAGGGUAACGGCCUACCAAGGCUGAGAUGCUUAGCGGGUGUGAGAGCACGACCCGCGCCACUGGCACUGAGACACUGGCCAGACUCCUACGGGAGGCUGCAGUCGAGGAUCUUCGGCAAUGGGCGCAAGCCUGACCGAGCGACGCCGCGUGUGCGAUGAAGGCCUUCGGGUUG
Molecule: ribosomal RNA, 418 nt
Filed under: uncultured bacterium
Lineage: Bacteria
Description: bacterial SSU rRNA
Rfam family: Bacterial small subunit ribosomal RNA
Source: RNAcentral